UGGGGAAUAUUGCGCAAUGGGCGAAAGCCUGACGCAGCAACGCCGCGUGGGGGAUGAAGGCCUUCGGGUUGUAAACCUCUUUCAGCAGGGAAGAAGCGAAAGUGACGGUACCUGCAGAAGAAGCACCGGCUAACUACGUGCCAGCAGCCGCGGUAAUACGUAGGGUGCAAGCGUUGUCCGGAUUUAUUGGGCGUAAAGAGCUCGUAGGCGGUUAGUCACGUCGGAUGUGAAAACCCGGAGCUUAACUCCG
RNAcentral lists this ribosomal RNA (250 nucleotides) under uncultured bacterium. RNAcentral describes it as "partial 16S ribosomal RNA". It matches the Rfam family "Bacterial small subunit ribosomal RNA", at positions 355 to 617 of the family's 1533-position model. The record is from RNAcentral.